RNAcentral lists this ribosomal RNA (316 nucleotides) under uncultured bacterium. RNAcentral describes it as "bacterial SSU rRNA". It matches the Rfam family "Bacterial small subunit ribosomal RNA", at positions 28 to 334 of the family's 1533-position model. The record is from RNAcentral.
GAUAAACGCUGGCGGCGCACAUAAGACAUGCAAGUCGAACGAACUUAACCUAUUCUUAACGAUUAGGAGCGGUUAGUGGCGGACUGGUGAGUAAUGUAUAAGUAACCUGCCUAUUAGAGGGGAACAACAGUUGGAAACGACUGCUAAUACCGCAUAUGCCAUACAAACCACAUGGUUUGAGUGGGAAAGGAGAAAUCCGCUGAUAGAUGGACUUAUAUCUGAUUAGCUAGUUGGUGGGGUAAAGGCCUACCAAGGCGACGAUCAGUAGCCGGACUGAGAGGUUAAACGGCCACAUUGGGACUGAGAUACGGCCCAG